Molecule: long non-coding RNA, 772 nt
Organism: Trifolium pratense (red clover)
Lineage: Eukaryota; Viridiplantae; Streptophyta; Magnoliopsida; Fabales; Fabaceae
Exons: 3
Source: RefSeq, a predicted model, not a curated record
UAUUAUGGAUGUGCAGCAUUCAGAAGAGCAUGAAUGCUAGAAGUGUGAGGCAGAACCAUAUAUGUUGUUAGGAUCAAGGAGGAGGUGAGAGUAAGGCUAUGCCAUUGUUGUACUUUCCGCAAGAUUAAGGUGGAGGUGAGGGUAAUUUAAUUAGUAUAUCUUUAAGUUGUUCUGUUUUCGCAUCUUUGAUGAAGCUUUUAUUUUUUCUAUUUUUGAUGAUCCUACUAGUGCCUCACCAACUAGGGAGUCAAACUUUUAAUAUUUUUGAUGAUCCAAAACUUAUAGAGAUGAAAAGAAAAGCAAAUACACAAGUCUGAAGGAAAUGGCUACACUUUUAAGGUAAAACACUUUUGAAGUUCAAGCAAGGAAUUAUGAGUGACCCUUUUUGAUGCUUUGUCAAAUUGGGUUGAUGAUGUAAUUGGUUUGGAGUUGAAUGUUCAUAAGGAAGAAUUUGGUUAUUGGUUCUUGAUUUUUGCAGGUUGUUCAUCUGCAGGAAGUAAUACAAUGGAGACAUUAAGAAAAGGAAAACAAGUACAUGUGUGUCACUGUUCAAGUCUCUUAAUUAUGACCAAAUAGGUUCUUUCAUUUUGUGCUUAUAAGUAAAAGUGAAUGAUACUUCUACAUUUGUGUUUUUUUUUGUUGACAUAAACACAUUUGUGUAUUGUUAAGAACAUGUUAUAUAUGUACAUCAUAUACAGUAUAUGAUUAUUGUUUGAUAUUCUUAACCAAUUUUUGGAUUAGUAUAAAUUGGUUGAUAAUGCUUGUAAUUGGA